Molecule: long non-coding RNA, 2829 nt
Organism: Ahaetulla prasina
Lineage: Eukaryota; Metazoa; Chordata; Lepidosauria; Squamata; Colubridae
Exons: 5
Source: RefSeq, a predicted model, not a curated record
AAAAUAAAAAAAAUAAAAAAAAAAUAGGGUCAUUUUCCAUGUAAGGCAAAUGUUAUAACUAUUACAUCAGUAAGAAAAAAUGUAAUUGCUGCGAAGGAGAAACAGAAGGCAAUCUGCAUCACAAAAUGUGAACUAAACAAGUUAUAGGGAAAUACUGGCAUGUCGAGAGAUCACAUUUUUAUGGGUGCAAGUUAAAUACAGGUCAGUGUAUAGUGUCACCUUGCUGAAAAACCAAAUUUCAUUACCUCAUGGAUUAAUAGCUUUGCUGUAUGAGCUAGAUGAAUGCAAUGCAGAACAAUGGACCUUCCAAUCAAGUGGGAGAAAAACUAAUAAGAACGGGGUUUACAAUUUCUUCAGAUUAUCUGGAAAUAAUGGGAAAACUGGAGUAUAGAGCUAUAUGACUUAGGACAUUCAUUUCUGUUUGGCAAGGAAGCCCAGAAAGAGAAUGCAUUAGAAAUGAUGAGGUAGUAUGCAAUCCUGAUAAUAUUGCUAGUUAUCUGAACAUGAUGGACUUCAGCAGAUGAUGCCAACCCCAAAAGCACAUGAUCAAGUCCAUCUUAUUCAUAUUGUGGUCUUACGCCCAUGUUGCUCAAUGUAAGAAAAUUCACCAAAGACCCAACUUAAAGUCCUCUUCAACUAAACAUUGCAAACAACCACCCUCAAAGUGAAAUCUGGCUUGGCAUGCAACAAGUUGAAGAAAGUAUUUCAGAUACUUAGAAGAUGUAAUUUUGUCAACAGAACCUGUUCAGGAGGAACCGAAAGCAUCGCAGCGAGACUUGCGAAAAUCGAGCCAGACAAACUGUUGCCAGGAGAUCUUCAAACUAGAAUCCUCUUGGAGGGACGGUGAAGAAAGAGAGGCACCUCAGAUGACCAAGAAGAACAGGCAAGUUCCUCAGAGGGUUGGGGGUAGCUCUUUCAUCCAGUGGUCAGGAUGGUGGCCAUUAAAAUGACCACUCUAAGCUGGGGCAACCGGACUAAGAUUUGUGCAGGAGCAAUGUUUGAAUGGAGUAUUGCUACCGGGUGAGUGAUUGGCCAACUCAUAGGGUAAAAAGAAACUUUCUAAAAGCUUAAAAGAGGUCCCAGUGUGAAAUAAGUGGCUAAUUAGACCUUGGGAAUGUUAAUUGAAGGAGAAGAACAAAGAGGAAGUUAAAGGACUAAAGCCCAAAAAAGAAAGCUUUCUAUCUGGACUUAAAACUGGAUUUGGAGAAAUAAAAACAAUACAGGGAAAAGAAAACUGAGAGAAAGCACCUUUUAACAACAAAAGGAAAAGAAAUUGAAAAGAAAGUACUUUUUAUGUGGAUUUAAAAAUGCUACUUGGCUACCUUGGGAUUUGUGGAUUGGAGAGAGGCAUCUGCUAAUGGAAAGACUUUGACCAUGAGAAAUAUUAAGGAGUAUUUGUUUAAACAGCUGGGUUCUGACUUUGAAAAGAGGUGAAAAAGAACAAAGCCUUAAAUUGGAAUGGACUAGAACUGAAUGUUAUUUGGAAAUAAAAAAGAAAAUAGAGACACUAUGUGGAUUUGAAUUUGAAUUACACAUAAACUAAAAUUUUAAAAAAUUGAAUUGACAGUAUGGAAUAUUGGGAGUAUGAGGAACUAAUGGAGAUGUUUAAGAAGGUGUAGGAAGCAUUUAAGGAUAAUAAAGAAGCGGAAGCCUGGUUAGAAUAUUAAAAAAAAGGAAAAAGAGAAUACAAAUGAGAAGCAAGAACAUGAUGUUGAAGGGAAAACAAUUGAAGAUAAAAAGAUAGACAAUUACACUGGGAUUGACAAAAAAAUGGAUAGGGGGAAUAUUCCUCAAAAAAGAAGGGAAGAGAAGGAAAUGGGAAAAGUCUGAGGGGGAAAAUUAAGAAGGUAACAAUCUUAAAAAACUAGAGAAAGGAUUCGGGGAAAGAUACAAUAAAUAUAAAAAUAAAAAUAAAAUAAGAGAAUGGGAGAAAGGGAGAAAAAGAUUAAGAAAUGGAAUUCUGGAGAGACCAAGAGAAAAUGGUUAAAAGGUGAAGAAUAAUGGAUAGAAGGAAGGGAAUUAAAGCAUUUAUUAGUUGAUUUAAGGGAAUGGUGUUAGUAGUAAAAUUGUAUGUAAGAAGCAAUUUUUUUAAAAAAAAUUUACAUUUAUAUCCCGCCCUUCUCCGAAGACUCAGGGCAGCUUACAUUGUGUAAGGCAAUAGUCUCAUUCUAUUUGUAUAUUUAUAUACAAAGUCAACUUAUUGCCCCCCCAACCAUCUGGGUCCUCAUUUUACCUACCUUAUAAAGGAUGGAAGGCUGAGUCAACCUUGGGCCUGGUGGGACUCGAGCCUGCAGUAUCUUACAGCCUGAGCCACACCGCGGCCCAAAUUAGAAAAAGUAUAUUGCUUAUUGUAAAAUGGAUCAGCAGAUGUAAUCUGAAAUCCAGAUUGUUUAACUAUGAAAAUAACUGAAAUUAAGAUAGUAAAUUGAAAUGCUAGUAAACGAUGUAUGUAAGAAGCAAAAAGAAGUAUCUUGUUUAUUGUAAAAUGGAUCAGCAGAUGCAAUAUAGAUUGGUUUAAAUGUGAAAAUAACUGAAAUUGAGAUAUAAAAUAGAAAUGCUAAUAAAUGAGGAAAAUAAUUAAUUGGUGUUGGAAUAAGAAAUUAGGAAUUAAAAAAACUAAGAGGUAGAAGGUCAGUUUACUUAAAAGGUUUCAAGAUAAAAAUGGAAUAAGUUGAAAUACAUUGUUAAUAAUCAAAAAAUGUGAUGGGGAUUUUGAGAAAUAUUCAAUAAAUGGAGAAAAAAUUGGGGUUGCCCAGAUACCAUUGUGGAAAAUAUUGAAUUGAAAAUGAAUACAACAAUAGAGAGAGAACGGAAGGAGGAGUAGAGGGA